GACGAACGCUGGCGGCGUGCUUAACACAUGCAAGUCGAACGGAAAGGCCCUGCUUUUGUGGGGUGCUCGAGUGGCGAACGGGUGAGUAACACGUGAGUAACCUGCCCUUGACUUUGGGAUAACUUCAGGAAACUGGGGCUAAUACCGGAUAGGAGCUCCUGCUGCAUGGUGGGGGUUGGAAAGUUUCGGCGGUUGGGGAUGGACUCGCGGCUUAUCAGCUUGUUGGUGGGGUAGUGGCUUACCAAGGCUCUGACGGGUAGCCGGCCUGUGAGGGUGGACGGCCACAUUGGGACUACGAUACGGCCCAGAGUCCUACGGGAGGCAGCAGUGGGGAAUAUUGCCCAAUGGGCGGGAGCCUGAUGCAGCAACGCCGCGUGCGGGAUGACGGCCUUCGGGUUGAAAACCGCUUUCGCCUGUGACGAAGCGUGAGUGACGGUAAUGGGUAAAGAAGCACCGGCUAACUACGUG
Molecule: ribosomal RNA, 468 nt
Filed under: uncultured bacterium
Lineage: Bacteria
Description: partial 16S ribosomal RNA
Rfam family: Bacterial small subunit ribosomal RNA
Source: RNAcentral